Molecule: long non-coding RNA, 1660 nt
Organism: Ictidomys tridecemlineatus (thirteen-lined ground squirrel)
Lineage: Eukaryota; Metazoa; Chordata; Mammalia; Rodentia; Sciuridae
Source: RefSeq, a predicted model, not a curated record
GCAGUUAAGUCCCCCUGGAUCCAAUCCUUGGUACCAAAAAAAAAAAAGAAGAGUUAUCAAAGUUGGCCACCUCUUCAUGUGAUUCAUUAUUCCAUCCCAUGGGCCUGUCUGAAAAGCCACAUUAACCACAUCUCCAUAGUCCUUCUAAUGAAGAAAGGGGUAGUGUUUAACACUUGGCCCCUGUUCCCUCUUGGUUUCCUCUCAUGUUCAUUAUCUCCUUUUACUCCUAAGCUGUUCAUGCAUGCCAAACGUCCUGAACAGGUGUCCUCAGAGCCGCUUUGGGACAGAAGGUAGAAACCCUAAUCUGAAGAUUCAGUGUCGAGAUGAGACAAGAUGCUGAAAAAAAUGAACAGGCUAUGAAAUUUGGAUUUUCCUUAUGUGAAACAUGCUGACUGAAAAAUACGGUGAAAAAUCACAUGACACGAAAUAAUUUUGAAAAGCAAGGAUGGGACCAAAUCAGGACAAAUCUGAGACCUUAGGGGUCCUGCUUCCACGCUGGAAUGAGAGAGAUGUGGUGGGAUAUUGACUUGUGGGCCAUAGACGCGCACUUCAGAACUGGGAGGAACCCGGGAUAGCAUGCAGCUCCAGACCCCUCACUUGGCUGAAAAAGAAAGCGGAAUUACUUUUCCAGUUCCCAAAGUAUGCACAUGGCAUGGGUGGUGUACUAUAAGUCUUGUUUUUUCCACUUAAUGAUAUAUCCUGGGGCACAACUCUAUCUGUUCUCAUCCUGUUUGAUGGCUACAAAGUGCUCUCUGGCACACAACAUCCGCCUGUCUGCUGUUGAUGAACAGGCUCCAGCUGUCAACGUUUCAAAUAGAAUAAUGAAGUUCAGAGUCACCGCUCUGUGCUUCCCAUGGCCUUGAGAAGUCGGCUUCCAGGACGGAGGUGAUGAAGGCUGACUUGGCAAGGGGCUGGGAGGUUCUGCUCGAACCUUCACAAGCAGACUGGAGCUGAGGUCACAGACAGACUGCGCAGGUACCAGCGUCCUUGAUUUUCCAGCUUCAAAGUGAACGGCCUCUGAAGUAGGGGGACAGUCACACCUGCCUUGCUGCCGUUGAUUUCUGCCUUCCUGGCUGCAGACUCAACAAGACAACAAUGAGUCUGUUGACAUUUUCAAGGCCACAUUCAUAAACCAGCCAUGGGAAGCCUCUCUCCCCCUUUCUUUCAAAGUGAACAUGAAAACGUUGUGUACCCAGUAAGAAUUCAGCAACGAACUCAACUCCUCGGAGAUUGGAUCUUAAGUUCAGAUGCUUUAUGAAUCAGACACUAGCAGAUGACUGGUUUCUGGCCCCUGAAGCCUGCCUGAGAAGUGGACUACGUAUUACCCAGAAGCCUCUGGAACCUGUCAAGGAUGAUCUUCUGCUGUUACUAUCAGCUCCAUCCACCUCACUUUCCUUCUCCAGGCAAAAGCAGGUGCUGGUCGUGGUGAGCCAGAUGUGUCAGACUCAAAGACAAGUGUCAUAUGUUUGCUCUCAUAUGUGGAAGCUAGAGAGGAAAAAGGGAAAAGAAAGUUCUCACAAAAAUAGAAAGAAGACUGUUAGGGCAAAAGAAGAGGAUCAGGGCAGGGAGGAGAGAUACAGGACAGGGGACUGAAAUUAGUUAAAUUGUUACAUGCAUAUAUGAAUAUGCCACAAUAAAACCCACUAUCCUGUAUAAUUAA